Molecule: non-coding RNA, 74 nt
Organism: Ameiurus melas (black bullhead)
Lineage: Eukaryota; Metazoa; Chordata; Actinopteri; Siluriformes; Ictaluridae
Source: the annotation of a GenBank genome assembly
GACAAUGGUAGCUCAGUGGUUAAGUUGUUGGGCUACUGAUCGGAACAUCAUGAGUUCAAACCUCAGCACUGUCA